GAUGAACGCUGGCGGCGUGCUUAAUACAUGCAAGUCGAGCGAACGGACGAGACUCUUGCUUCUCUGAUGUUAGCGGCGGACGGGUGAGUAACACGUGGAUACCCUACCUAUAAUACUGAGAUAACUUCGGGAAACCGGCGCUAAUACCGUAUAAUAUUUUGAACCACAUGGGUCGAUAGUGAAAGACGGUCUUGCUGUCACUUCUCGAUGGAUCCGCGCUGCAUUAGCUAGUUGGUAAGGUAACGGCUUACCAAGGCAACUAUGCAUAGCCGACCUGAGAGAGUGAUCGGCCACACUGGAACGGAGACACGGUCCAGACUACUAAGGGAGGCAGCAGUAGGGAAUCGUCCGCAAUGGGCGAAAGCCUGACGGAGCAACGCCGCGUGAGUUAUGAAGGUCUUCGGAUCGUAAAACUCUGUUAUUAGGGAAGAACAUAUGUGUAAGUAACUGUGCACAGCUUGACGGUACCUAGUCAGAAAGCCACGGCUAACUACGUG
Molecule: ribosomal RNA, 497 nt
Filed under: uncultured bacterium
Lineage: Bacteria
Description: partial 16S ribosomal RNA
Rfam family: Bacterial small subunit ribosomal RNA
Source: RNAcentral